GACGGAGGUACACAUGUGUAGUCAGCCGGAAUUUUUCGUGUCGUGUUGUAAAAGUUGUUAAUUCGCCGUAAAUAUCUCUUGAUUUGUACUCAAGAGUGGAGCAAGACCCCAAGGAAGAGAGAUUGACGCAUCGGGAGCGAAGAACAGAAACGAUGGAUGGUUACGCUGCUUGGGUCUCGGCACGUUCGAAUUGGCAAAGUUCCGAAUUUGUCGCUGUGUGGUGUACGCUUGUGCGCUCGUCAUUUGCCGUCAUCGCGCGGAGAUAUUUGCGCUGGAUGUCUUUCACUUCGUGUACAAAACUCUGCACGCUGCGGCAUCGAAGAAGUUGUCCUGUGUUUGGGUGCACGUAUGCGCUUGGACACGGAUAGCCUGCUUGCUCUCAACGGGUGUUCAACAGUCUACGCGCACUCGUAACUUGCUCAUGAGGCCUGUUGCUGUUGUUCUGCUCAAGCUGAGAAGAGGUCUGCUGCCUGCAGUGGGUCCAUCUCUCUCAAGUUAUCGCAGUAUUGUAGCUCUCGAACCUGUGCAGACAAGGUUUAUUAGACAUGGCCAUGGCCCUCAAGGAAGAUGCCGAGGCCACAGGCAGUUCCUCCAGUGACCGUCCAAAGGUCCCCUGUGGCACAAGUCUAAUUUGGCACCUGUACCUUUCUCCUGCAGCUUUUCUGUCUACUUAGCU
Long non-coding RNA from Dermacentor albipictus, 676 nucleotides. RefSeq lists it as uncharacterized. NCBI's taxonomy places the organism in Eukaryota, Metazoa, Arthropoda, Arachnida, Ixodida, Ixodidae. The record is from RefSeq and is a predicted model, not a curated record.